UUAAAUUGAAGAGUUUGAUCAUGGCUCAGAUUGAACGCUGGCGGCAGGCCUAACACAUGCAAGUCGAACGGUAACAGGAAGCAGCUUGCUGCUUCGCUGACGAGUGGCGGACGGGGGAGUAAUGUCUGGGAAACUGCCUGAUGGAGGGGGAUAACUACUGGAAACGGUAGCUAAUACCGCAUAACGUCGCAAGACCAAAGAGGGGGACCUUCGGGCCUCUUGCCAUCGGAUGUGCCCAGAUGGGAUUAGCUAGUAGGUGGGGUAACGGCUCACCUAGGCGACGAUCCCUAGCUGGUCUGAGAGGAUGACCAGCCACACUGGAACUGAGACACGGUCCAGACUCCUACGGGAGGCAGCAGUGGGGAAUAUUGCACAAUGGGCGCAA
This 385-nucleotide ribosomal RNA is filed under the name Escherichia coli. RNAcentral's name for it is "bacterial SSU rRNA". It matches the Rfam family "Bacterial small subunit ribosomal RNA", at positions 1 to 380 of the family's 1533-position model. Lineage: Bacteria; Pseudomonadati; Pseudomonadota; Gammaproteobacteria; Enterobacterales; Enterobacteriaceae. The record is from RNAcentral.